GGAGAAAUUACCCUUGGUGUGUU
This 23-nucleotide microRNA is filed under the name Echinops telfairi (small Madagascar hedgehog). The record is from RNAcentral. Lineage: Eukaryota; Metazoa; Chordata; Mammalia; Afrosoricida; Tenrecidae.